AGUGAACGCUGGCGGUAGGCCUAACACAUGCAAGUCGAACGGCAGCACAGUAAGAGCUUGCUCUUACGGGUGGCGAGUGGCGGACGGGUGAGGAAUACAUCGGAAUCUACUUUUUCGUGGGGGAUAACGUAGGGAAACUUACGCUAAUACCGCAUACGACCUACGGGUGAAAGCAGGGGAUCUUUUGACCUUUUGCGAUUGAAUGAGCCGAUGUCGGAUUAGCUAGUUGGCGGGGUAAAGGCCCACCAAGGCGACGAUCCGUAGCUGGUCUGAGAGGAUGAUCAGCCACACUGGAACUGAGACACGGUCCAGACUCCUACGGGAGGCAGCAGUGGGGAAUAUUGGACAAUGGGCGCAAGCCUGAUCCAGCCAUACCGCGUGGGUGAAGAAGGCCUUCGGGUUGUAAAGCCCUUUUGUUGGGAAAGAAAAGCAGCAGGUUAAUACCCCGCUGUUCUGACGGUACCCAAAGAAUAAGCACCGGCUAACUUCGUG
RNAcentral lists this ribosomal RNA (492 nucleotides) under uncultured bacterium. Its description in RNAcentral is "partial 16S ribosomal RNA". It matches the Rfam family "Bacterial small subunit ribosomal RNA", at positions 29 to 507 of the family's 1533-position model. The record is from RNAcentral.